AACGAACGCUGGCGGCAUGCCUAACACAUGCAAGUCGAACGAAGGCUUCGGCCUUAGUGGCGCACGGGUGCGUAACGCGUGGGAACCUGCCCCUCGGUUCGGAAUAACAGUUAGAAAUGACUGCUAAUACCGGAUGAUGACUUCGGUCCAAAGAUUUAUCGCCGAGGGAUGGGCCCGCGUAGGAUUAGUUAGUUGGUGGGGUAAAGGCCUACCAAGGCGACGAUCCUUAGCUGGUCUGAGAGGAUGAUCAGCCACACUGGGACUGAGACACGGCCCAGACUCCUACGGGAGGCAGCAGUGGGGAAUAUUGGACAAUGGGCGAAAGCCUGAUCCAGCAAUGCCGCGUGAGUGAUGAAGGCCUUAGGGUUGUAAAGCUCUUUUACCAGGGAUGAUAAUGACAGUACCUGGAGAAUAAGCUCCGGCUAACUCCGUG
RNAcentral lists this ribosomal RNA (433 nucleotides) under uncultured bacterium. RNAcentral's name for it is "bacterial SSU rRNA". It matches the Rfam family "Bacterial small subunit ribosomal RNA", at positions 29 to 507 of the family's 1533-position model. The record is from RNAcentral.